Molecule: small nucleolar RNA, 84 nt
Filed under: Helianthus annuus (common sunflower)
Lineage: Eukaryota; Viridiplantae; Streptophyta; Magnoliopsida; Asterales; Asteraceae
Description: sRNA HanXRQr2_Chr12g0555961
Rfam family: Plant small nucleolar RNA R71
About the family: R71 is a member of the C/D box family of snoRNAs containing the C (UGAUGA) and D (CUGA) box motifs. Multiple nearly identical copies of this snoRNA have been identified in Arabidopsis, and it is thought to function as a 2'-O-ribose methylation guide for 18S ribosomal RNA.
Source: Rfam by way of RNAcentral
AGGCCAUGAUGGGGACACUUGCGUAAUAGCUCCUUGAACCUUUCCCAUGUUUCAUAUAAGGAUUCCCCGUCCUCUUGUGAGUAU